Molecule: ribosomal RNA, 502 nt
Filed under: uncultured bacterium
Lineage: Bacteria
Description: bacterial SSU rRNA
Rfam family: Bacterial small subunit ribosomal RNA
Source: RNAcentral
GCUUUUGGUGCCUUCGGGAACUCUGAGACAGGUGCUGCAUGGCUGUCGUCAGCUCGUGUUGUGAAAUGUUGGGUUAAGUCCCGCAACGAGCGCAACCCUUAUCCUUUGUUGCCAGCGGCUCGGCCGGGAACUCAAAGGAGACUGCCGGUGAUAAACCGGAGGAAGGUGGGGAUGACGUCAAGUCAUCAUGGCCCUUACGGCCAGGGCUACACACGCGCUACAAUGGCGCAUACAAAGAGAAGCGACCUCGCGAGAGCAAGCGGACCUCAUAAAGUGCGUCGUAGUCCGGAUUGGAGUCUGCAACUCGACUCCAUGAAGUCGGAAUCGCUAGUAAUCGUAGAUCAGAAUGCUACGGUGAAUACGUUCCCGGGCCUUGUACACACCGCCCGUCACACCAUGGGAGUGGGUUGCAAAAGAAGUAGGUAGCUUAACCUUCGGGAGGGCGCUUACCACUUUGUGAUUCAUGACUGGGGUGAAGUCGUAACAAGGUAAGCGUAGCGAG